GACGAACGCUGGCGGCGUGCUUAACACAUGCAAGUCGAACGGAAAGGCCCUGCUUUUGUGGGGUGCUCGAGUGGCGAACGGGUGAGUAACACGUGAGUAACCUGCCCUUGACUUUGGGAUAACUUCAGGAAACUGGGGCUAAUACCGGAUAGGAGCUCCUGCUGCAUGGUGGGGGUUGGAAAGUUUCGGCGGUUGGGGAUGGACUCGCGGCUUAUCAGCUUGUUGGUGGGGUAGUGGCUUACCAAGGCUUUGACGGGUAGCCGGCCUGAGAGGGUGACCGGCCACAUUGGGACUGAGAUACGGCCCAGACUCCUACGGGAGGCAGCAGUGGGGAAUAUUGCACAAUGGGCGGAAGCCUGAUGCAGCAACGCCGCGUGCGGGAUGACGGCCUUCGGGUUGUAAACCGCUUUCGCCUGUGACGAAGCGUGAGUGACGGUAAUGGGUAAAGAAGCACCGGCUAACUACGUGCCAGCAGCCGCGGUGAUACGUAGGGUGCGAGCGUUGUCCGGAUUUAUUGGGCGUAAAGGGCUCGUAGGUGGUUGAUCGCGUCGGAAGUGUAAUCUUGGGGCUUAACCCUGAGCGUGCUUUCGAUACGGGUUGACUUGAGGAAGGUAGGGGAGAAUGGAAUUCCUGGUGGAGCGGUGGAAUGCGCAGAUAUCAGGAGGAACACCAGUGGCGAAGGCGGUUCUCUGGGCCUUUCCUGACGCUGAGGAGCGAAAGCGUGGGGAGCGAACAGGCUUAGAUACCCUGGUAGUCCACGCUGUAAACGGUGGGUACUAGGUGUGGGGUCCAUUCCACGGGUUCCGUGCCGUAGCUAACGCUUUAAGUACCCCGCCUGGGGAGUACGGCCGCAAGGCUAAAACUCAAAGGAAUUGACGGGGCCCCGCACAAGCGGCGGAGCAUGCGGAUUAAUUCGAUGCAACGCGUAGAACCUUACCUGGGUUUGACAUGGAUCGGGAGUGCUCAGAGAUGGGUGUGCCUCUUUUGGGGUCGGUUCACAGGUGGUGCAUGGCUGUCGUCAGCUCGUGUCGUGAGAUGUUGGGUUAAGUCCCGCAACGAGCGCAACCCUUGUUCACUGUUGCCAGCACGUUAUGGUGGGGACUCAGUGGAGACCGCCGGGGUCAACUCGGAGGAAGGUGGGGAUGACGUCAAGUCAUCAUGCCCCUUAUGUCCAGGGCUUCACGCAUGCUACAAUGGCUGGUACAGAGAGUGGCGAGCCUGUGAGGAUGAGCGAAUCUCGGAAAGCCGGUCUCAGUUCGGAUUGGGGUCUGCAACUCGACCUCAUGAAGUCGGAGUCGCUAGUAAUCGCAGAUCAGCAACGCUGCGGUGAAAACGUUCCCGGGGCU
RNAcentral lists this ribosomal RNA (1346 nucleotides) under uncultured bacterium. Its description in RNAcentral is "partial 16S ribosomal RNA". It matches the Rfam family "Bacterial small subunit ribosomal RNA", at positions 28 to 1381 of the family's 1533-position model. The record is from RNAcentral.